Molecule: long non-coding RNA, 1959 nt
Organism: Varanus komodoensis (Komodo dragon)
Lineage: Eukaryota; Metazoa; Chordata; Lepidosauria; Squamata; Varanidae
Exons: 3
Source: RefSeq, a predicted model, not a curated record
UAACCUCCCUCUUCUCCCAACCAAUGUGGGUGGAAACACCUCUACAUUAUGCAAGAUUGUUUUAAGGAUUAUACAGACAGGUGCCGUGCUUUGAAUGCUCUGUAUUAAUGCAGGGGUAUAUUCGUCACCGCCAUCAUAGCAUUAUGGAAUGUUUUCUAAAGAUGGAAGCACCUGUCCAUUUCUUUCUUAUUUUUCCAAUCCUCAGUUCAGCUCUUCUUGAACUUCAUUCUUAAAUUUGGCUCAUCCUGUGCUUUGGAAACUUGUUUUUAAGAGUUUGCAUUAAAAUCCACAGGCAUUUUUGUACAUGUUCCUGAGUAUAUAUCCAUUUUUGCAGGCGUUCUUACAUCACGCACAUUUCCUUGUGCAGAUUUGACCAUCAUUUCCCUUAAUGUGCUCUGUUUUGAAGACAUUUUGAUUGGAGAACUUCACUGCAAAUUUGGAGAAGUGCAGCUUUCCGAGGAUAUCUGGGGUUUGCUUCACACUGUGAAAUGGAUUGUUGCAGCCUGCUUGCUCCCAUAUCAGCAGGAAGGAGUAAAAUCUUUCGACUUUGCCUCGCCCUGCUUUGCUCGAGGCCAGCCUCUGUGGCAGCUGGCACAGAUGGGAACCAUGCUCCUCACUCAGAGGAUGCUAACUUGUGGGCAGAAGUGGCUUUCUGGAAUAUCGGCGAGGGGAUGCUGCGGCCCAGGGUCGAGCUGAGGACCCGCAACUGCAAGCCUGAAGGGCAGAGACAGACAGCGUUGUUUGAGAGAGGGCUCUAGGGCCUCUGGGACAAAGAUCAGAGGAUGCUGAGAACGGGGACGUGGCCUGAGGGAGGUGGAAGGCCAGAAUCCAGGAGGCAACAGAGGAACCUGUGCGGCCGCUCAUCACCACCACCCGGCAGGCAGCCGUGUCCGUCCGUUGCAGCAAAAAGAGCAGGAGGAACUCUGAAAUGCUGAAGCCUAUGAUCAUCGCAAUCUCCCCAAAGUCCCGGUGGAACUUCACGUGGGAUUCUCCCUAUUCCAUCCUGACAGUCUGAGAAAGAAUAAAGAAGGGAACUCUUGCUAAAAGAACAACGAAACUACAGGUCUGCAGCUCCAAGAAAGAGUACAGUGAAGUAAAAAGCAGAGGUGAGACAUCGAGGUGGCAUAAAGUAUUGUGGGGUUUAUCUGUCAGCUGUAACAUUCCUUUUCCUACAGAAAGGGAUUUUAUUUUUAGCACUCAGUAUUGGGGAUGUCAGAAAAGCUGGCUGGGAGAAGACUAGAUCAAAAGAUUUUUUUCCCCAUACAAAAGAUGCACACCUGCUUAGUAAUUCACUGAAGCCAACUUUUAUAUUCAUUCGCUUCCAUAACACCAGUCAAACAUACUUCUGGCUUUGCUGUUUGAUAUUUGAAAGCUGGAAAUAAGUUUCUCACAAGUUAACUAUCCAGCAGAGGCUUUCAGGGAAAGUAUAACUUUUGUAUAGUUUUGCCACUGUCCCUUAUAAAAAGACAAGGAAGGGGGGUGGGUGUCAAUUAAUUAAUUAAAAUAUUUCUAGGCGGCCAUUCUGGGCAGAAGCACUUCCGAGGCACCUUAUAACAAUAAAAUUGAUUGAUAAACUUUCAUAAAAGCAACAAACUAAGAAGCAACAAUGAACCCACACAAAGCAGAAAAAAAUGUCAGCAUAAAUAGGUUUUUAGUGCCAUCCUAAAAGCUUGCAAAGUCCUACCUGAUAAACCCCAAGGGCAUCCUGCUCUAGAAGUUUAGGGCCGCUGCAGAAAAACCCCUCAUGUGUACUUGACCAUCAAACUGUGCUCAAAUGUGGGCAAGUAGGAAGACCUUCUGUUGCUGAUCCUAAAGUGUGAGGAGCAAGAUAUGGAUGAAGGUCAAGUAAUUUGGUCCUAUGUUUUGUGUGUGUGGUGGGGGAGCAUCCAGAGGGGUUCGGCUGCCCCACUGAAUUUGGGCAAUGGGGCCAUCCACAAACCUGUCCUUGGUCUGAGUGGA